RNA transcript from Pieris napi, 2765 nucleotides. It is a transcript of the gene named ATP-dependent Clp protease ATP-binding subunit clpX-like, mitochondrial, with no coding region annotated. NCBI's taxonomy places the organism in Eukaryota, Metazoa, Arthropoda, Insecta, Lepidoptera, Pieridae. The transcript has 13 exons. The record is from RefSeq and is a predicted model, not a curated record.
UAUAGGUAUUCGGUACGAAAACAACGUGGAGUGCGCAAGAAAAUCACACAUCAAAAUCAGCUGUGACAAUCAGUAUGGCCGCUCAUUUAGCAAGAAAAUAAAAUUUAACUAUAUUAUUUUCAAACGUUUUGCAAAAAUAGGAAAGUGUUGGUAGUGUUUACAUUUUAGUUGAUUUAUUUUAUUCGAGUCGGUGUUGACUAUAAAAGUGUUGCGUCAUGACAAGAAAGACCUCUCACUGACAAACAAAUACAAUAAAAAAUUUAACCACUAAUUGUAGCAGAAUUUCAGCAUUUCCCUUGCAUUCGUCUUUCAUUUUGUUGAGUUUAUUGCGAGCUAAUGUGAUUUUCGCGUAAAUAAUCCCAUAAAUAUACAAAAUGAGUACGGUUCGCUUGAGUUUUGUAUCGGUUGGAAGAAUUGCUGUUAGGAGAAAUUCGCAGUUGACAUCGGGUGCUGCGCAGUCAUGUCGUGGUCUCCGCCGCUCGAGUCCCCGUUCCUUCAGUACAUGCGCCGUUUUGUGCAAGAGUCCCACAGAACAGCCCCCAGGGCCGCCACAAGCAGGCAAAGAUGCUGCAAGUACUGGUUCAGCUGGUGGUAAGAAGUCAGGUAAUGGGGUGUUGACGUGUCCCAAAUGUGGAGACCCUUGUACCCACGUGGAAACCUUCGUCAGCUCAACACGGUUUGUCAAGUGCGACAAAUGCCACCACUUCUUCGUGGUGCUGAGCGAGGUCGACACUAAGAAGAGCAUCAAGGACAAUGCUGACGCGAAAAACGGAUUCUACAGAAAGCCGCCUCCACCGCCGAAAAAGAUAUUCGAGUACCUUAACAAGCAUGUUGUGGGUCAGGAUUUUGCAAAGAAAGUGCUGUCGGUGGCCGUAUAUAACCACUACAAACGAAUAUACAAUAAUGUCACUAAUGGCGCUAACGACGCACACCAUCCACUGCAUCACGCACACAAAGAUCUGCUGCAUCUAAGUCAGGGUGGGACAGGCGGCGGUGCGGAAGUACUGGAGCGACAGAACCACGAGCUGAGACUUGACAAGAGCAAUGUACUGCUUUUGGGACCAACUGGAAGCGGUAAAACCCUCCUUGCGCAGACGAUAGCGACAUGUCUAGACGUGCCCUUUGCGAUCUGCGACUGUACGACUCUGACGCAGGCUGGAUACGUCGGCGAGGACAUUGAGAGCGUGAUCGCGAAAUUACUACAAGACGCCAACUUUAAUGUGGAGCGAGCGCAGACUGGCAUCGUGUUCCUCGAUGAGGUGGACAAAAUUGGUGCAGUUCCCGGAAUACAUCAGCUUCGAGAUGUAGGAGGUGAAGGAGUACAGCAAGGCAUGCUCAAAAUGCUCGAAGGUUGCGUUGUGUCCGUACCCGAACGUAAUUCUCGCAAACUACGCGGUGACGCGGUACAAGUUGACACCACGAACAUACUGUUCGUCGCGAGUGGGGCAUAUAACGGUCUCGACCGCCUAAUCCAACGGCGUAAUAACGAGAAAUACCUUGGUUUUGGGGCGUGGGACCCGAAGUCGGGACGACGGGCUGCGUUCGCAGCGGCCGCGGCCGACGCCUCGCCAUUGGAUACGGCGAAAGAUGAGUGCAACGAAAGAGAUAGCUGGCUUCGUAAGGUGCAAGCCAGGGACCUUAUCGACUUUGGCAUGAUUCCCGAAUUCGUUGGUCGUUUCCCCGUACUGGUGCCUUUCCACAGCCUCGAUCAGGACCUCCUCGUGCGGAUACUGACAGAGCCUAAGAACGCUAUUGUCGCCCAGUACAAAUUACUGUUCGCGAUGGACAAGUGCGAGUUGUCGUUCAGUGAAGAGGCGCUUCGAGCUGUCGCCGCUAUGGCCAUGGAGCGCAAGACUGGUGCUAGAGGUUUACGGGCCAUCAUGGAAAACCUACUUCUGGAAGUGAUGUUCGAGAUCCCAGGGUCGGAUAUAACGGGUGUUCACAUUCACGAUGGCUGUGUGCGUCGCGCAGAACCACCAAGACUUACGCGGCGACACGCAGACCAGGAUAUGCACCACUGGCCCUCGGUGCGACUACACAAUUGAAUCUUUCGAUAAUACAGCUUUCUGUUCUGCCACUCAAGACGGAUUCUUUAUUUGAGGCCUGCUCACAAGAUUUGAAGGCGGAAUCGGAACCAUCUGUUAAUCAGUACGCGCUCUGAGAAAUGCGCAACACAAACACACCGGCAAAUUUGUCUAUGCUCAUAUUCCUCUACUGUCUGUGCCCGAAAGCCGUAUUACUAAGGCAAAAUUAAAGGCUCACUGCAUUCUUAAAAUAUUAAAAUAUGACAUUAAAAACUUAUAUAUUAUUUAAAAAACCUCUUGCCUAACAACUGUUCCAAUACAAUAAUUUUGUGGCUAGAAAAAAAAAAGUAAAAUUUACGAUGAUCUUUAUAGUAGUUCCUUGUGGUUAAUAGAAUGGUUGUGUGCGCGACAUACAGCCAUCUUGUGAUGUAAAUUACUGUAAAUAUUAUAUUAUAGAAAGAAUUAAUUAAGACGUAAUAGUUUAGGCAUUUUUUAAAUCUACAUUUUAAGUUACGAGAAAUGGUUUAAAAAACUGGCAAUUUAAAUUAAAAGAUUGGCAACACAGAAGAUAUUUUGACAUUUUGUUUUUGUUAUACAUAGAUUUUUUAUUUAACGCGAUGUGAUGUGAUUAGGUUUAGAUUAUAAAAAAUAGAGAAUUUUAGACACGUUUUGAACGGAUUAUAUAAUCACAUUACAAAUAGAAUAAGCUUAUUUUCAAAUAAAAACAAUAAAACUACUGAA